This 253-nucleotide ribosomal RNA is filed under the name uncultured bacterium. RNAcentral's name for it is "partial 16S ribosomal RNA". It matches the Rfam family "Bacterial small subunit ribosomal RNA", at positions 524 to 776 of the family's 1533-position model. The record is from RNAcentral.
UACGGAGGAUCCGAGCGUUAUCCGGAUUUAUUGGGUUUAAAGGGUGCGUAGGCGGCCUGUUAAGUCAGGGGUGAAAGACGGUAGCUCAACUAUCGCAGUGCCUUUGAUACUGAUGGGCUUGAGUGCAGAUGAGGUAGGCGGAAUGUGACAAGUAGCGGUGAAAUGCAUAGAUAUGUCACAGAACACCGAUUGCGAAGGCAGCUUACUAAGCUGUAAUUGACGCUGAGGCACGAAAGCGUGGGGAUCAAACAGG